UCAGAAAUGAAGUGGCCGGCAAUUGGA
RNAcentral lists this non-coding RNA (27 nucleotides) under Homo sapiens (human). The record is from RNAcentral. Lineage: Eukaryota; Metazoa; Chordata; Mammalia; Primates; Hominidae.